UGGGAUUGAAUAAACUGGGGUACAAAAGAACAACAUAAUAUUGGGACGUCAUUAAAAAUGGUGAAUUUCAGGGAAUUUUCACAACCUGGGGCUUGCAAAAAAAGAUGAUAACACGCUUGGUAUUUGUUGGGCACUUACUGCAUGCCGGUUGUUCCGGUAAAUACUUUCGAUAUUGAUUCUAUACCCUUAAGAGAAACAUAUUACUGAUAUCCUAAAACCUGUGGCCAGAGGAAUUUGCCUGUGGUUAACUGCUCUAAGAAAGUGAAAACUGAGACUGAGACCUUAUUCAAAGCGCUAAGCAGCAGAGGCAGCAGUUAAACUAGGUUAAUUUGUGGCAAGAGUCUAGCCUCUUACCCUCAGGCCUGCCCAACAGUAAUCCUGAUAUAACACUAGUACACACCACCAGGCCAGUGAUGCCUGAAUGCACAUACUAGGAAAGGAAUAGAGAGGUGGGACCCCACGUACACAUUUUCUGUCUCUCAGUGACACAAUUACUCAUGAUUUAAAUUUUCUUUUAAAUUUCUAUAAUGUAUAGGUACUAAUUUAACAAUGAGAUGAAAUCUUAUUUGCAGACUGAUCACCCACUAAAAAGCCCUGUGCUGAAUAUACCAUUAUUCAUUGUAAUGAAAACUCAAAAGUAGAUCAAAUGUCAAUUAUUAUUGGAUUAGUUAAAUUAGAAAACCUGUAUUUGUUUUGGUAGUUUGCAGGCACUGAAAAAUGAAGAUCACAAAGAUCCCGUGGUUCCAUGAUAUGAAAACCAAAGUAUGAGAUGGUAUGCAUUUUAUGCAUAAUUAUUUGAGAACUUCACUGAAAUCUGUGAGGAAAGAAAAGAUAAAAGAAGUCCUGAAGCAAUCUCCUGCUACCCUCUUCCCCAGCAACAGCCACCCUAGUGCCCUUCUGGGAAUGUGCUCCGCCCUGGGAUGGAAGCAGAGUCUGGAAGUUUGCAGUUCAUUCUCCCCCAAAUCCAUUAGGGGAUUCUCCCCCAAAUUCACAGCCUCAGCGAGGAGCAGGGACCCCAUAGGGCAGCAUGUACCAAUGCUCAGUAGCAAUCCAGGCAGGUGCCAGUGAAGCAAGCCAGAAGAGGUCAAGGAUCAAUGACAGCUGGAGCAGCUAACAAAGGGAGACAGGAACUGGAGAGCCCAGGAAGCAGGAACAAAAUUUGAACCAAACCCAGGUGCUCUGUGGCACAAAAACGUUAGAAGAGUUAAACCAAGGUUAUCAAUCAAAUAAGGAGAAAAGAAGGUGGAUGGGCAGGGAUGUUAUUGCUGCCCUGAAGGACUCCUGCAAAUAGUGCAUUUGAGUGUUUUUUUCUCAUCUCAGCUGUGGAACACCUAUCAGCAGUUCUUGCUACUGAAGAGAAAGGUGGAGUUAAUGACACUAUUCGUAAGAAAAAAAGGGGUAUCAUUGGCCCCAAAUGCUAUUUACAGAAAGCUUUUCAGAAAAGGAAAAGUUUUGCCUAUAAAGAGACCUAUGUAUGGGUCUGAGCCAGCUGCUUACAAGGCUUUGGCUUCCCAUUUCUGAGCAAUUGGUGAAUCUCUUGAGCAAGGACUUCUCAGCCUCCAGGUUAUGAGCAAUACAUUUCUGUUGCUUACAGAUGAUCUUAUCUAAGGCAUUUUGUCAUAGCCUGAACAGAUGGAGAUAAGUGGGAUACACUCGCAGUCCCUUCUGCCAAGUGCCCUGAGCAUGCCCCCAGCCCCACCUGCCCAUCUGCUGCUUCUGUGGUUGCCUCCUUCUCAUCCUAUAGAUGCUGGGAGCUCAUGGGAGGACUCUCUGCCCAGAACUCCACACUUUUCCUUAGCACUUAGAUCAACCUAAAAUCAUCCACUGCCAACUUGUUUGGUGCCCCCUCAAGAGCUCCAACUGCUCUCGUUUGGGCCCUCCCUGUCCAUAUUAGUGUCCUUUGUGAAGGCUGAGGCCAGAACUAUCCUAUUCACCGCGAGUGAGGCUGAGCCUGACACAUGGCGACAACUCCAUCAUUAUUUGUAGAAUGAAUGAAUAAAUAAAAGGACUGCUAAUCUGAACUGAAGUGAGUGAAAACACAGGGCUCAAAUUUUAAAGGAGCAAAAGCAAGAAUCUUCAGAAACACCUUCCACUAAUCCAACCCUACCCUCUUGCUCCCACUCUUUUCUUUCCUCUCCUCUCCAACCUUCCCACUUUCUUCCUUCCCUUUCUUCCUCCUCCCUCCUUUCUUUCCUCUCCCCUGCUUUUUUCCUUUCCGCCUUCGUUCCUUCUUUCUUAGAAGUGCACCUGUACCUGCUCCCAGUCAGUCGUGGGCCAGGUGCUGUAUGCCGCCCACCUCCCCAACUGCUUUUCUCCUCCACCCACAUUUGUGUUCUCAGUUCGCUGACCUGUUACAAGGGCCCAGGCUUUUCUUAGUCUCCUCAAGUCCCCCCCACGCCCCUGUGGAGUCCCCCACAGGCCCACAGGCACCCUUUCUCUGUGGACCCUCUCUGUGACAGAGCCUAAGGUCAGGAUACCCUGGGAAGGGGAGAGUUGGCUCCUCCAAGCACCCAGCUAGGCCAUGCAACUGCAGACACAUCCGUCCUGCUG
This 2550-nucleotide long non-coding RNA is filed under the name Fukomys damarensis (Damara mole-rat). RNAcentral's name for it is "lncRNA (ENSFDAG00000024910.1)". Lineage: Eukaryota; Metazoa; Chordata; Mammalia; Rodentia; Bathyergidae. The record is from RNAcentral.